RNAcentral lists this small RNA (29 nucleotides) under Bombyx mori (domestic silkworm). Its description in RNAcentral is "ovarian small RNA-28342". The record is from RNAcentral. Lineage: Eukaryota; Metazoa; Arthropoda; Insecta; Lepidoptera; Bombycidae.
UCGACUCCACCGGUCGCCGGUGACACCAC